UAGAUUCCACUUCACUUGAGAUAUUUUCAUGGAAGUGGAGGAAGCCAAAGAUAGCAUUUUCCCUUGAGGCAUGACAGAUGGACUUUAGGCGAGAUAGUUAGUGAAGGUGAUUGUAGUCUGUGAUAUAAACCCCAUGUUCGAUGACCUCCAUUUCUCAUUAAUGAGGUAUUUUAUUGGUGGGCGAAGUACUUGCUGAUCUGCAUGUGUUCCAACAAAAUUCUAUUGUAGCGUGGCACGGUGGAUGUAUGUAGCUAGUAUAUUCUUGAGUUUCCCUGAUAGUGCCUUCCUUGAUACUCGAGAGGUUAAGAUGUCAUCAACAAUUAGGUGCAUAUGUACUAUACUCAUGCAUGGUAUUCCCUAUAACGUUUUAAAUAAUAGUUCGGUUUAAUUUUGACCGAAGUUAAUUUUUUCUGAGUUUGAUCAACCUUACAAAAUACGCAUGUGUAUUGCAAGUACACAUGGGAAAACUCCCGUGCAAUAAAGGAUGCACAAACGAUAAGCAGCAUACUGCAAGAUUUCACAAACACUAGAUGUCGCUCGCUCGCUCGUUCGCCACAUCGAUCUGGUAGACUGCUAUACAUAAUGCGCAUGCAUACGGUCCCGGCCCGUAUAUGCAUAUAUACAUCAAGAACAC
RNAcentral lists this long non-coding RNA (634 nucleotides) under Setaria italica (foxtail millet). Its description in RNAcentral is "long non-coding RNA (SITA_LNC006380)". Lineage: Eukaryota; Viridiplantae; Streptophyta; Magnoliopsida; Poales; Poaceae. The record is from RNAcentral.